CAGCCGCCGCGGGAAUACGUAGGUGGCAAGCGUUGUCCGGAAUUAUUGGGCGUAAAGCGCGCGCAGGCGGAUCAGUUAGUCUGUCUUAAAAGUUCGGGGCUUAACCCCGUGAUGGGAUGGAAACUGCUGAUCUAGAGUAUCGGAGAGGAAAGUGGAAUUCCUAGUGUAGCGGUGAAAUGCGUAGAUAUUAGGAAGAACACCAGUGGCGAAGGCGACUUUCUGGACGAAAACUGACGCUGAGGCGCGAAAGCCAGGGGAGCGAACGGGAUUAGAGACCCCAGUAGUCCCUGUCUCUUAUACA
Molecule: ribosomal RNA, 301 nt
Filed under: uncultured bacterium
Lineage: Bacteria
Description: partial 16S ribosomal RNA
Rfam family: Bacterial small subunit ribosomal RNA
Source: RNAcentral